RNAcentral lists this ribosomal RNA (1081 nucleotides) under Takifugu alboplumbeus (komon-damashi). Its description in RNAcentral is "partial 16S ribosomal RNA". It matches the Rfam family "Bacterial large subunit ribosomal RNA", at positions 818 to 2534 of the family's 2925-position model. Lineage: Eukaryota; Metazoa; Chordata; Actinopteri; Tetraodontiformes; Tetraodontidae. The record is from RNAcentral.
GAGGUGAUAAACCUACCGAGUUCAGUUAUAGCUGGUUGCCCGAGAACUGAGUAUAAGCUCAGCCUUUUGGCUUCUUAACUCCACAACUAUUUAUAUCAACCCGACUUUAAGAAACCAAAAGAGUUAGUCAAAGGGGGUACAGCCCCUUUGACACAAGAAACAACUUUUAACAGGAGGAUAAGGAUCAUAAAAAAUUAAGGCACCGCGCUUAAGUAGGCUUAGAAGCAGCCACCACAAGAAAGCGUUAAAGCUCCAGCACAUCCCUGCCACAAAUACCAAUAAAACACUCCUAACCCCUUCCCCUACCGGGCUUUUCUAUGCUUCCAUAGAAGAAAUUAUGCUAAAAUGAGUAAUAAGGGGCUGACCCCCUCCAAGCACAAGUGUACAUCAGAACGAACCCCCACCGAAAUUCAACGGACCCAACCAAAGAGGGAAAUAAAUAUUAAACUCACAACAAGAAGAACAUUUAACACUUUUCCGUUACCCCUACACUGGUGUGCCAAAUAGGAAAGACUAAAAGAAAAAGAAGGAACUCGGCAAACUCAAAGCCUCGCCUGUUUACCAAAAACAUCGCCUCUUGCUUCAAUGAAUAAGAGGUCACGCCUGCCCUGUGACUAUAUGUUUAACGGCCGCGGUAUUUUGACCGUGCAAAGGUAGCGCAAUCACUUGUCCUUUAAAUGUGGACCUGUAUGAAUGGCAUAACGAGGGCUUAGCUGUCUCCUUUCUCCAGUCAAUGAACUUGAUCUCCCCGUGCAGAAGCGGGGAUAAAACCAUAAGACGAGAAGACCCUAUGGAGCUUUAGACAAAAAACAGCCCCUGUCAAUAAACCCUAAACAAAGGAAAUAAACCUAGUGAACCUGUUUUAAUGUCUUUGGUUGGGGCGACCGCGGGGUAACAAAAAACCCCCAUGUGGAAUGAAAACACCCUUUUUAAAACCAAGAGUCACCACUCUAAGUUACAGAACAUCUGACCAAUAAUGAUCCGGCUUAAAGCCGAUUAACGAACCGAGUUACCCUAGGGAUAACAGCGCAAUCCUCUUUUAGAGUCCAUAUCGACAAGAGGGUUUACGACCUCGAUGUUG